Non-coding RNA from Apiotrichum porosum, 139 nucleotides. Lineage: Eukaryota; Fungi; Basidiomycota; Tremellomycetes; Trichosporonales; Trichosporonaceae. The record is from the annotation of a RefSeq genome assembly.
GGUCUGAUCGUAUAACGGUUAGUACACAAGAUUCUGAGCACAACGCCGUGAUCAUCCUCCAAACAGGGUCCUUCAGGAGGAUCCCGGGGGUCACACAUCACUCGUUCUUGUAAUCUGGGUUCGAUUCCCAGUCGGACCU